GUGAAGAGUCAGGUUGUUUGGUAUUGCAGCCUAAAGUUGGAGGUAAAUCUCUCCUAAAGCUAAAUAUUGACGAAAGACCGAUAGCGAACAAGUACCGUGAGGGAAAGAUGAAAAGCACUUUGAAAAGAGGGUCAAAAAGUACGUGAAAUUGCUGAAAGGGAACCGUAUGAAAUCAGCUUGUCUUUUUGGUAAUCAACCUGGACUUCGGUCUGGGUGCACUUGCCAGUGAGACAGCCUGCGACAAUUCGAUUUGGAGGAAAAAAUUAUUGGGAAUGUGGCCUCUGCCUUUGGUUGAGGUGUUAUAGCCCUUUAAAAAAUACUCUGGGUUGGAUUGAGGACUGCAGCGAGCUCCCUCGGGGGCAUGGGUUAUGGGCGCUUUGCUUCGGUAAAAGGGAAAUCUCUACUUCGGGUAGUGUCUUUUUUAUCGAGGUAAACUCGCCUAUAUUCCCUUUUUCUCGCUUAGGUCGUAGGCAUAAUGAUUUUAUAUGACC
This 491-nucleotide ribosomal RNA is filed under the name Absidia sichuanensis. RNAcentral's name for it is "Absidia sp. HZ-2022d partial large subunit ribosomal RNA". It matches the Rfam family "Eukaryotic large subunit ribosomal RNA", at positions 257 to 649 of the family's 3401-position model. The record is from RNAcentral. Lineage: Eukaryota; Fungi; Mucoromycota; Mucoromycetes; Mucorales; Cunninghamellaceae.